Molecule: non-coding RNA, 112 nt
Organism: Ustilago trichophora
Lineage: Eukaryota; Fungi; Basidiomycota; Ustilaginomycetes; Ustilaginales; Ustilaginaceae
Source: the annotation of a GenBank genome assembly
GGUCGUGUGAUGUAGUGGUCAAAGCAUUCCAGAUUUUGAAUCAUAUGAGAGCACUGUCAACAUAUGACUUUGAAAGGUUCUGGCUACCUGGGUUCGAAUCCCAGCAUGACCA